AGUGAAAUAGCUGAGUCAAAUGGUUGUUCCAUUCCACGUUUUCCAAGGAAUCUCCAUAAUGCUUUCCAGAUUGGUUACACCAAUUUGCAGUCCCACUAGCAAA
RNAcentral lists this microRNA precursor (103 nucleotides) under Marmota monax (woodchuck). Lineage: Eukaryota; Metazoa; Chordata; Mammalia; Rodentia; Sciuridae. The record is from RNAcentral.